RNAcentral lists this ribosomal RNA (217 nucleotides) under uncultured Funneliformis. RNAcentral's name for it is "partial small subunit ribosomal RNA". It matches the Rfam family "Eukaryotic small subunit ribosomal RNA", at positions 667 to 864 of the family's 1831-position model. Lineage: Eukaryota; Fungi; Glomeromycota; Glomeromycetes; Glomerales; Glomeraceae. The record is from RNAcentral.
GGAUCAAUUAGUUGGUCAUGCCGUUGGUAUGUACUGAUUUUAUUGAUUUCUCACCUUCUAAAGAACCUUAAUGUCAUUAAUUUGAUGUUUUGGGGAAUUAGGACUGUUACCUUGAAAAAAUUAGAGUGUUUAAAGCAGGCUCACGCUUGAAUACAUUAGCAUGGAAUAAUGAAAUAGGACAUCCGAUUCUAUUUUGUUGGUUUCUAGGAUCGACGUA